GACGAACCGUGCGAACGUUGUUCGGAAUCACUGGGCUUAAAGGGCGCGUAGGCGGGCGAUCAAGUCCGGGGUGAAAGCUUUCGGCUCAACCGGAAAAGGGCCUUGGAUACUGAUCGUCUAGAGGGAGGUAGGGGCCUGUGGAACUUCCGGUGGAGCGGUGAAAUGCGUUGAUAUCGGAAGGAACGCCGGUGGCGAAAGCGACGGGCUGGAUCUCUACUGACGCUGAGGCGCGAAAGCCAGGGGAGCAAACGGG
RNAcentral lists this ribosomal RNA (253 nucleotides) under uncultured bacterium. RNAcentral's name for it is "partial 16S ribosomal RNA". It matches the Rfam family "Bacterial small subunit ribosomal RNA", at positions 524 to 776 of the family's 1533-position model. The record is from RNAcentral.